Molecule: non-coding RNA, 219 nt
Filed under: Eubacterium sp.
Lineage: Bacteria; Bacillati; Bacillota; Clostridia; Eubacteriales; Eubacteriaceae
Source: RNAcentral
UAAAUGUCAUAACUUUUUAAUAUAUUUAUAAUUCCAGGGAAUCAGGUGAGAAUCCUGAACAGUUCCGCUGCUGUGAGCAGGGAGUCUGUAUUUGAUAUGCCACUGAUGAUAAACAUAUAUUAUUUGUUAUCUUACAGAUAUGAGAUAGAUUGGAUUCGGGAAGGUGAAUACAGGCGUUGAUAUGCGAGUCAGAAGACCGGUUUACAGGCAGAUUUUAAU